GAGUUUAAUCAAGCUAUUGAAGCCUUACUUAGCAUCCACGAGCAAGAAGACUCUUUGUACCCAAGCUUUAAGGCCACGGUCCAAGAAAGAAGCCUGGAGGAGCCUAAUAAAGAAGAAGCUUACCUGAUACAAGACGGCCCAACAACUGAAUUGCCACUUCUCCGACCCAACAAAGAAGUGUCCUUGUUCAGCAUCAGCAUCA
Molecule: long non-coding RNA, 202 nt
Filed under: Eutrema salsugineum
Lineage: Eukaryota; Viridiplantae; Streptophyta; Magnoliopsida; Brassicales; Brassicaceae
Description: long non-coding RNA (ESAL_LNC001592)
Source: RNAcentral